Molecule: long non-coding RNA, 1347 nt
Organism: Nyctereutes procyonoides (raccoon dog)
Lineage: Eukaryota; Metazoa; Chordata; Mammalia; Carnivora; Canidae
Exons: 3
Source: RefSeq, a predicted model, not a curated record
GCCUGGCAUCUCUAGGUGGAGUAAAUGAAGGGGAAAGGGUGUAGGGACAGCCCUCAGUCAUGGCCAGAGUCUGCUCAACAUUCCUGUCUCCUCCCUAGACUUGACAUAAUGACAAUAACAAUACCGCUUGGAAGGCCAAGCACAGAGCCCCCUGAGAGUUCACAAAGUCCUUCCCUACCCAUUAUGGGAGGCUCUCCCCUCUACCGCUGCCUCAGGACCUUUGCACUACUUCUCCUUCCUGGAACACUCUUCCCCAAGGCCUCCAGGCCCCCGUCGGAAAGGCAGUAAGCUGAUGGCAGCUUCUAUAUUCUGCAAGGAAGACGUAUGCAUACAUCCGAUUUUAAUUCUAGAGUGAAGUGGAUUUCAUGCUUGCUGCCGUCCCCACGGCUUCCUCAUUUCUGAGAUCACUGUUUAGGUGGCUGCAUGUCAUUACCAAGAGGUUUUUGAAGAAGGGCUCAGAUAUGCCUCAUGCUUAUUAUUAUUAAUCUAACCAUACGGAACCACCCUGAUAAAGGUAUCAACACAUAACACAGAGCAAAACCAAGUCAAGCAGCGAUACCACGUUCCCUAGUGUUCGCUUUCACAUCAUGUCUCCUUUCACUUGUCUUAGAAACGGUGGCUCGGAGUGAGACUUCACUUGAAAAGUGGUUUCCACUUCACCUCCAAGAGGCUGGCUAAAAUUAAACUUAACUCAGCCUGUGUGGGUGAGGAUGUGGAACUGACACACCACUGGUGAGCGUGUAAAAUGGUGCUGGCGUGGGGCAAGACUACUUGGUGGCUCAUCAAGGCCGAACAUAGCCUUAUCCUGUGACAGAGCAAGCCCGGUUCUUGAGUAUGAAUCCAGCAGAAAUGCCUGGAUACGCUGAUCUUCUAGAAGUGGCUCUGGAUGUUCAGAGCAGGUGUUGUGACAGCUUCCCAACAGGAGCCACACAGAUGCCCACUCCACAGCAUAUUCAUAUAACAGAGCACUACUCAGGAAUGAGAGUGGACAGUUGACCAACCCAACGUGCCCUAGUGGAAGAUUCUAAUACAUGGUGAAGGAGAGACCUCAGAGACAAAAGAGCACACGUUGUGCGACUCCAUUCAUGUGAAGAACCAAAUUGGUGAAACUAAAUCCCCGGGAAUAGAGGACAGAAGAGUAUUUGCCUCUGGGGGGUCUUGACUGGGCACUGGGAGCACUCAGUACCUUGGUUGGGGUGGUGGUUGCCCGGGGGUGCACAUAAGUAGAAAUUGACUGAACUCUUGCUUAAGAUCUGUGCACCACACUGUGUUUUAUACCUGAGUAAAAGUGUUUGAAAAGCUUUAAAUAGGGGGAUCCCUGGGUGGCUCAGUGGUUUAGCUCCUGCC